UACGGGGGGGGCAAGCGUUGUUCGGAAUUACUGGGCGUAAAGGGCUCGUAGGCGGCCAACUAAGUCAGACGUGAAAUCCCUCGGCUUAACCGGGGAACUGCAUCUGAUACUGGAUGGCUUGAGUUUGGGAGAGGGAUGCGGAAUUCCAGGUGUAGCGGUGAAAUGCGUAGAUAUCUGGAGGAACACCGGUGGCGAAGGCGGCAUCCUGGACCAACACUGACACUGAGGAGCGAAAGCCAGGGGAGCAAACGGG
RNAcentral lists this ribosomal RNA (253 nucleotides) under uncultured bacterium. RNAcentral's name for it is "partial 16S ribosomal RNA". It matches the Rfam family "Bacterial small subunit ribosomal RNA", at positions 524 to 776 of the family's 1533-position model. The record is from RNAcentral.